RNAcentral lists this ribosomal RNA (301 nucleotides) under uncultured bacterium. RNAcentral's name for it is "partial 16S ribosomal RNA". The record is from RNAcentral.
GAUUAGAGUUUGAUCCUGGCUCAGGACGAACGCUGGCGGCGUGCUUAACACAUGCAAGUCGUAACAAGGUAACCGUAAGUCGUAACAAGGUAACCGUAGAGUUUGAUCAUGGCUCAGAAGUCGUGACAAGGUAGCCGUAAGUCGUAACAAGGCAACCGUAGAGUUUGAUCCUGGCUCAGGAUAAGUCGUAACAAGGUAGCCGUAAGUCGUAACAAGGUAACCGUAAGUCGUAACAAGGUAACCGUAGAGUUUGAUCCUGGCUCAGCCUUUGACUUAAAAAAAUGGAGAAGUCGUACAAGGA